RNAcentral lists this transfer RNA (77 nucleotides) under marine sediment metagenome. Its description in RNAcentral is "tRNA-Asp". It matches the Rfam family "tRNA". From Rfam's summary of the family: Transfer RNA (tRNA) molecules are approximately 80 nucleotides in length. Their secondary structure includes four short double-helical elements and three loops (D, anti-codon, and T loops). The record is from RNAcentral.
CCCCGCGUAGCUUAGUGGUUUAAAGCGCUGGCUUGUCAAGCCAGAGAUCGUCGGUUCAAAUCCGGCCACGGGGGCCA